CUUAUCUCGGCUCGUAAAUGAUCUGCAUCGAGAUGCAGUCUCUUGAGGGUCACAGCGGGACCAAGUUUCGCCGAGGAAAAGAAGGGGGGGGGGGGUUGCUCUAGCCUUCGAAGGGAUCUCCCCGGCUGCGCGCUGCAGGUGGAAAGCUGCGCACUGAGCAGCUCCGAGGACCGCUCAGCACCCCCAGGGAAUAAAUAAGUGGGGGGAACAGACUGCGCACAGGCUGAGAGAACCUCAUUCUCCGGGUUCCAACUGCAGAGUGCUUUCCAGAGGAUCGGGAGAAAGUCCCGUGGGAACAAAGACGGGGUCCCCGUGGGGUGCGCUGUCACCGAAACCGGCGGAGCCGCUUUCUCAAGUUUGUGGCUGCUCGGUUGCCGGGCGGGCGAAGGAGGGGUGCUCGCGCUCGCCCCUCGCUGAGCAACCUGAGCGCCCCGGCGGGAGCCGCUCCAACGCCGCCGCCCUGCCCUGGCCCCCUCCCGGCCGCGGUCCCCUCUGUGCGCUCACGGACUCGACCCCUGCCACUGCCGGAAAAGGAAGAGUGAAAUCAAAGGAAUUUACACUUCCAAAGAAUUUUUUAGGAACUUUGGAUGCAAAGAAAAAGAGCAGCUUCAUAUGGUACAAUCUCCCACCAUGCUUGGGAUGAGAAGAGAUGUCAAAACCCUGCAACAGAACACAGCUACUCCAGAAAGCAAGGGAUCAUUGACUACUCAUUGAAGCUACAUCUCAACACGUGAUGAUUGCAUUUGUUUCAAGAAGAUUACUGGAAUUUUGUCCAGAAUGGUUUCAGUGCCAGUCCAACAUAAUGUAAAGAUUUUCUGAAGAUUGAAGUCUUCAUGGUUGUGAAAGAGAAAUCACAAAGACUAAAAGAGAAAAUGUGUUGCUGUGUUAGUUAUUAAAUAAAAGUGUUUCCCCUACUCUCUGGAGACAGAAUUACAAAGAAAAGCUGAAGUCAUCUAAGAUUUAUUUCUCAGUCCCUAACUGCUUGUGAAUAUGGAUCAAGAUUGACACCCAGUGGCCAAAUUUAAUCCUUUCUUUUUUUUCCACUGAAAUUCCCUUUCUGGGUAAUUAGCCAUUUUCUAAAAUGUCCCUUUAUUUGUUUUCAAUUGUAAAUAUUAUUAAAAUCUAUGUCUUGUUUA
Felis catus (domestic cat) is the source of this 1136-nucleotide long non-coding RNA. RefSeq lists it as uncharacterized. The record is from RefSeq and is a predicted model, not a curated record. NCBI's taxonomy places the organism in Eukaryota, Metazoa, Chordata, Mammalia, Carnivora, Felidae. The transcript is spliced from 4 exons.